Long non-coding RNA from Diachasmimorpha longicaudata, 852 nucleotides. RefSeq lists it as uncharacterized. The transcript has 3 exons. Lineage: Eukaryota; Metazoa; Arthropoda; Insecta; Hymenoptera; Braconidae. The record is from RefSeq and is a predicted model, not a curated record.
AUUUGACAGAAGGCACGUAAGCGUUACUUUUAGCAUAAUUAUGCUUUUUUUAAUUGUUUUUAUUGCUACCAAUGCUAUCGAUAGUCAAUUUCGAAAUUUAUCCACAAUUGUUUUUUCUUCUAGUUUUAGAUACAGCACACGGUAACAAGGGAUUAGAUUCUGAUAUGUUCCCCAAACACCGGCGAAUAAUCAAAAUAGACUUAACCUAGUCGAUGGUUUCCCCAAAUGAAAUCGAAUGAUUUCCGGUAUUAAUGAAAAAUCAAUUUUCCCUGAAUGAAAUACGAGGGAAAGUGUCUACACACAACACCUUCCCCCUUCUUUCUACCCCAUAAUUUCCAUAUAAAUUCCGCUAUCUUCAUAUUUCCGCGUCAUGAUGAGAAAAUUGCAGGAAUGUACUUCAGCACGAAAGUCCCUCUCUCCCUGGCAAACGAGUUUAACUCUCGGAAGAGGGAAGCAGAAAAUAUUCAAGCAGGGACUUCAAGUUACUCCCCAUAAGGCGCAGGUGAUACAGCUGCUCAAAAGCGUGUCCGAGUCCCUGGAUUAAAAUCAUAGGAGGGGCCCUCCGGUCCCCCCCCCCCCAGCUCCGCGGAAUUCCUCAGGCGUCUUCGGCCUUGGUAUGGCUGAGGUGGGACGGAAAAUGUGACCCAGUUUAACCGGACACUCCCCAAAGGUGGAGACAGGUCGACGCCGUAGACUCUUUCAUGCAACUUCCUCGUCCCUUGAAGAUGCGAUGGGACAGCUGUGCAUCGCUUCCCCCUGUCCGCUGGCGCUUAUGGAUCCACCCCUUGAUGGAACAAAAAUGAAGGUGAAAAUUCCCUGCGGAUUAAGAUUAAAGUUCUGUGGAAUUAGGCC